GAUGAACGCGGCGGCGUGCUUAACACAUGCAAGUCGAACGAUGAAGCCCAGCUUGCUGGGUGGAUUAGUGGCGAACGGGUGAGUAACACGUGAGUAACCUGCCCUUAACUCUGGGAUAAGCCUGGGAAACUAGGUCUAAUACCGGAUAGGAGCGCCUACCGCAUGGUGGGUGUUGGAAAGAUUUAUCGGUUUUGGAUGGACUCGCGGCCUAUCAGCUUGUUGGUGAGGUAAUGGCUCACCAAGGCGACGACGGGUAGCCGGCCUGAGAGGGUGACCGGCCACACUGGGACUGAGACACGGCCCAGACUCCUACGGGAGGCAGCAGUGGGGAAUAUUGCACAAUGGGCGCAAGCCUGAUGCAGCGACGCCGCGUGAGGGAUGACGGCCUUCGGGUUGUAAACCUCUUUCAGUAGGGAAGAAGCGAAAGUGACGGUACCUGCAGAAGAAGCACCGGCUAACUACGUGCCAGCAGCCGCGGUAAUACGUAGGGUGCGAGCGUUAUCCGGAAUUAUUGGGCGUAAAGAGCUCGUAGGCGGUUUGUCGCGUCUGUCGUGAAAGUCCGGGGCUUAACCCCGGAUCUGCGGUGGGUACGGGCAGACUAGAGUGCAGUAGGGGAGACUGGAAUUCCUGGUGUAGCGGUGGAAUGCGCAGAUAUCAGGAGGAACACCGAUGGCGAAGGCAGGUCUCUGGGCUGUAACUGACGCUGAGGAGCGAAAGCAUGGGGAGCGAACAGG
Molecule: ribosomal RNA, 734 nt
Filed under: Micrococcus luteus
Lineage: Bacteria; Bacillati; Actinomycetota; Actinomycetes; Micrococcales; Micrococcaceae
Description: bacterial SSU rRNA
Rfam family: Bacterial small subunit ribosomal RNA
Source: RNAcentral